GGAGUUAGCCGGUGCUUCUUCUGUGAGUGAUGUCCUUCCUGCCGGCUAUUAACCCGCAGGCCUUCUUCCUCACUGAAAGUGCUUUACAACCCGAAGGCCUUCUUCACACACGCGGCAUGGCUGGAUCAGGGUUGCCCCCAUUGUCCAAUAUUCCCCACUGCUGCCUCCCGUAGGAGUCUGGGCCGUGUCUCAGUCCCAGUGUGGCUGAUCAUCCUCUCAGACCAGCUACGGAUCGUCGCCUUGGUGAGCCGUUACCUCACCAACCAGCUAAUCCGACAUAGGCUCAUCCGAUAGCGCGAGGCCCGAAGGUCCCCCGCUUUCCCCCGUAGGGCGUAUGCGGUAUUAGCCUGGGUUUCCCCAGGUUAUCCCCCACUACCGGGCAGAUUCCUAUGCAUUACUCACCCGUCCGCCGCUCGCCACCAGGGAGCAAGCUCCCCGUGCUGCCGCUCGACUUGCAUGUGUAGUCGUCGCCGCCACGCGUCAUACUGAGCACAAUACAACUACUGA
This 507-nucleotide ribosomal RNA is filed under the name uncultured bacterium. Its description in RNAcentral is "partial 16S ribosomal RNA". The record is from RNAcentral.